RNAcentral lists this ribosomal RNA (465 nucleotides) under uncultured bacterium. Its description in RNAcentral is "partial 16S ribosomal RNA". It matches the Rfam family "Bacterial small subunit ribosomal RNA", at positions 28 to 507 of the family's 1533-position model. The record is from RNAcentral.
GACGAACGCUGGCGGCGUGCUUAACACAUGCAAGUCGAACGGAAAGGCCCCUUUGGGGGUACUCGAGUGGCGAACGGGUGCGUAACACGUGAGUAACCUGCCCUUGACUUCGGGAUAACUUCAGGAAACUGGGGCUAAUACCGGAUAGGAAUCCUUGCUGCAUGGUGGGGGUUGGAAAGCUUCGGGGGUUUUGGAUGGACUCGCGGCUUAUCAGCUUGUUGGUGGGGUAGUGGCUUACCAAGGCUUUGACGGGUAGCCGGCCUGAGAGGGCGACCGGCCACAUUGGGACUGAGAGACGGCCCAGACGCCUACGGGAGGCAGCAGUGGGGAAUAUUGCACAAUGGGCGGAAGCCUGAUGCAGCAACGCCGCGGGCGGGAUGACGGCCUUCGGGUUGUAAACCGCUUUCAGCAGGGGCGAAGCUUGUGGUGACGGUACCUGCAGAAGAAGCACCGGCUAACUACGUG